CAGUCGCCACGGUAAUACGGAGGGUGCAAGCGUUAUCCGGAUUUAUUGGGUUUAAAGGGUCCGUAGGCGGAUCUGUAAGUCAGUGGUGAAAUCUCACAGCUUAACUGUGAAACUGCCAUUGAUACUGCAGGUCUUGAGUAAAUUUGAAGUGGCUGGAAUAAGUAGUGUAGCGGUGAAAUGCAUAGAUAUUACUUAGAACACCAAUUGCGAAGGCAGGUCACUAAGAUUUAACUGACGCUGAUGGACGAAAGCGUGGGGAGCGAACAGGAUUAGAUACCCGAGUAGUCCCUGUCUCUUAUAC
RNAcentral lists this ribosomal RNA (301 nucleotides) under uncultured bacterium. Its description in RNAcentral is "partial 16S ribosomal RNA". It matches the Rfam family "Bacterial small subunit ribosomal RNA", at positions 509 to 807 of the family's 1533-position model. The record is from RNAcentral.